CGUUAGCCACCACGCCCGGCCAGCUCUUUCAUUUCAAAGGCAUGAAGUGUUCUCUUUGUUAAAUAGUAAAGAACAUCUAGGAAGAGGAGAAGUUGGGCAGUAAGUGGCCAACAUGAUAGGAUUAAAUGAAACGCUAUGUGACUAGUACAUAGCUUAUACCUCAUGUAACCAACCAUAAGACUUGGACAACACCUGGACUGGUCCAUGCCCUGAUUCACCUAGACGAGGCCACUAAUCACUUGCUUGGAUAUCACAGCAAUGUUAAGUUGCCAGAAAGGAUUCUAAAUGCUUACUCUCACUUUCUUUACUUAUCUCAAGGUCAACUGGUCAUUUUGUGGACCAGCAUCAACAAUCUAUGGACCACAUUUUGAGUGGCACUAAUAUAGAUAACAUCGGUUUAGUUAAUUCAAGUAUACAAAUAACCAGUGAAGUAUAUGGCUCGCUUAUAUUCUCUCUCUCUACGAAACACACAGACACAUGCUCCUGAAUAUUUAUUCCCGAAACAUUUACUAAGAACCUACUAUAUUCUUGUUACUUUUCUAGGCUCUGAGAAUAUAGUAAUGAAUAAAGCAAAUCAAGUACCUGCUUUCAGGGAACUUAAAAUUCUAAUUCAACCAAUGUCUUAAUACCCAAACAUCUGGGUACCAGUUUGAGGCCUUGCUAAUUAAUAGCUCUCCGCUUUUGUAUAAAUUCAUUUAAUCCUUCUAAGCAAGUCUUUCUCUUUACAAAAUGAGACUAAUAAUACGUACUUUAAUGUCAUCAUUGGUAGCAUUAGAUAUUGUGAAAACUGUAAAAUCACAUACCAAUGCCAGGUCACAUUUUUAUCAUGGGCCCUUCCUGAGUGAAGGGAUGGUAUUUUUCCUGCCUUUGUAUCCUUAGCAGGAAGCAUAAGGGCUUGCUAAGUGGCAAGCUUAAAAAUAUAUUUUCUAAACAUUUAUUAGAUGGAAGCUUCUUUUUAUUGAUAUGUAUCACAAUCUUCUUAAAGUCUUCAAUUGGUCCUAGAAGUGUCUAUGCUUUUCCUGUCAGUUCUAAGAAUAAUGGUGUUCUUUAGCAUUACAACCUAGAACUGAAUUGUAAAAGUGCCCUAAGUUUGGGGAGGAAGAAAUUCUCAGCCAAUAAUAACAUGAAAAGAAAUGUACCUAGUCUGUUUCUCUUCAAACGUCUGAACUUCAUGUUAGAAAAGUUGCUUCCAGGGUAUAAAGACUUUCUUUUUGAGGGCUAGUGAUGUUACUGUUAGAGUUAGACAGGGGUAUGGAUGCUCUACAGAUUUCAUGAAAGUGCAUAACUACAUUCAGUGGCUAUUUGAAGAGUACCUUAUUUUAUAAGGUGCCCCUUAUACUGCAAGGGACAUUAGCAUAAUUAAAACACAGUGACUUGCAAGGAAUAAUAUUUAGUAAUGAGAAUAAAAUGAAUACACAAAAUGCACUAUAAAGCAGCAUAUAAGUGCCAUAGGUGUGGAAUGAAUAGGAACUAUGGGACUUCAGAGGAGGGCUCCACUUAGGAGUUGCAAUAUGAGACAGGCCUUCAAGGAUUUCAACAGAUUUUAGGUUUGAUAGAGGGAAUGGAAGGCAUUUGUUGCAGGCAGAGAGGUAACUUAAUACGUUGACUCCUUUGUAAAAAGUUAGUAGGAGUUACAGCAAGUAGUUUGAUAUACAUGUAAGGGUAUAGUGAAAGGUAAGGCUAGAAAAGUGGGAUGGAGAUACACAAUUGGGCAAGUGCCAGAUUGAGCAGUUUGUACUAAAUUUGAUGGGGAACUACUGAUAGUUUUUAAAAUAGGGUGGAGUCAUGAUCUGGACAAUGCUUCAGGAAGAUGGUUUUGGCAAGAACACAAGACGGACUGAAGGGAAGGCAACCAAGCAGGAGACCAAACAGGAGAUCACAGCAAAAGUCUCGACCUAGGUUAACCAAUACCUGACCUAGGGUCGUGGCAAUAGAGCUAGAGAGGUGGGGGCAGCUGGAAGGGCCAUUGUGUAGAAAGUAUAGUAUUUAUACCUGUGCAGUCCAAUAUAGCAGCUCCUAAUUAAGGCUCUUUAAAUGCAACUUUAAUUAAAAUUAAAUAGGAUUUAAAAUUCAGGCCAGGCGUGGUGGCUCACGCCUGUAAUCCCAGCACUUUGGGAGGCUGAGGCAGGCAGAUCAUGAGGUCAGGAGAUUGAGACCAUCCUGGCCAACAUGGUGAAACCCCGCCUCUACUAAAAAUAAAAAAAUUAGCUGGCCGUGGUGGCCUGUGCCUGUAGUCCCAGCUACUCGGGAGGCUGAAGCAGGAGAAUCGCUUGAACCUGGGAGGUGGAGGUUGCAGUGAGCCAAGACCGUGCCACUGCACUCCAGCCUGGUGACAGAGUGAGACUCUGUCUCAAAAAAAAAAAAAAAAAAAAAAUUUACUUCCUCAGUUGCAUUAGCUGCAUUUAAAGUGCUCAAUAGCCAUAUGUAACUCCUGUUUUGGACUAUGCAGAUAAAGAACAUUUCCAUCACAGUGCAAUGUUUAUUGAACAGUGCAGCUCACUAUGCUUUAGGGACUAAUUAGGCAUAGAAUGAGGAAGAUGGAUUAAAGGAGGCUUCGGUUUGGCAGCUGAGUGACUGAGAAAGGUGUUUAGUUUCUGUCAAAUACUAGGCCAGAUAAAGUGUCUACCCAAAUCAUCAGAUAUCCCUGGUGAAAGGAAAGGGCAGGGAAAGCAAAGUGCCCAUUGGGUUCUCCCAAAGCUUGUAAAGGAGCCCUGGGAGGAUUUAAUUGGUUUAUCUCCUCCUGCACUCAGUUUCUCCUGUUUGUGCAGCUCCCUGAAGAUUAUGAGUGGGCAAUCCAGUUCCUCAACCUCUCCAAACCAAUGGUUCACAUAUACCGUGAUGAGGACAGAAGCCCAAGGGCUUUGCUGUUUCCUUAGCUCCUUGGAGCCAGCUUGAACCUUUUUCUCACAGAUGCUUUGUGCUUCCUGUCCCCUAACCGCCUUACUCACCCUUCCCCAUGCUCAACUUUUGGAAAGUCCCCUUGGCCUCACUUGUUUGAUUACUUCCUCUCAAACUACUUCUCACAGGGACCACAGCAAACCAUUGACUCUACCACUUUUUACUUGCCCUGUCUUCCCUCCCAGCUUAAAUUCCAAGGUCUAUCACUAUAAUCACUCCCUUACAUAAUACUCCUACCCCUCUCAUAGGCUUUCCCCAGCAAAACUCAGACCUGGUCAAAUACAAUUCUCCUCCAACCCCCAAGCAAUGGAGUGUGGCUGGAGGAGAAUCACACGGCCUUGCUGAGUGGUCUCACUUUAAUGUAUGAUCAUCAACUCAAGAGGGCCCUCAGCACUGUCCAUGCUAAGCUUCUCUAGUCACUUUUCCACUCUUCAAGGAGAUUAUUUCUCACCUUCUUCUAUCUCCUUUAAUAGCCAACAGCUUUUCAUUGCAUAGAGAACAGAUCUUACCUCAUCAAUCCCAGUGAGGCAGCCAGUACAUAUGGCACUCAGUGGAAACUGGGAAAAGGUCCAUACGUGUGUGUGUGGGUAUGCAUGUGUGUGUAUGCGCAUGUGUGUGUGUUUGCGCAUGUGUGUGUGUUAUAUGCAGGAUGCUAACAUGCACCACCUCUCCUGGUGGAGCAAUCAGAAAAGUACCCCUUCCUCCAGGCUGAUGUGACCCCACCAGGGCACGUGGCUUUGUGGGCAAAACAAGGGCUACAUUUCAGCUCCUACCUGCCGCCUCUGCUCUACAGGGGCCUGAGCGUGCCACAACCAAAUGUACUGUCUAAUCUAUCUGCUUCUGCACCCAGACACUCUACCUUCUCUCCAGAAACAGUGUGUGAAUGCAUUCCCUUACUCCUAUCCUAGGCCAACCCUUUCACUUCUGUGCUAGAUCCAAUUGCUUCUCACCUAUUUGAGGACACUCUUUCUCCAGUUGUCUCCUCUUGCCUUCUGUGUCAUCAAUUUUACCUCUCUUACAGAGUCUCGCUCUGUUGCCCAGGCUGGAGUGCAGUGGCGCGAUCUCGGCUCACUGCAAGUUCCGCCUUCCAGGUUCAUGCCAUUCUCCUGCCUCAGCCUCCUGAGUAGCU
RNAcentral lists this long non-coding RNA (4027 nucleotides) under Homo sapiens (human). RNAcentral describes it as "HSALNT0012676". The record is from RNAcentral. Lineage: Eukaryota; Metazoa; Chordata; Mammalia; Primates; Hominidae.